This 1221-nucleotide ribosomal RNA is filed under the name Nucleospora salmonis. Its description in RNAcentral is "SSU rRNA". It matches the Rfam family "Microsporidia small subunit ribosomal RNA". Lineage: Eukaryota; Fungi; Microsporidia; Enterocytozoonidae. The record is from RNAcentral.
UGACGUGGGUGCUAGCCUCUAAGAUUUAGCCAUGCAUGCUUUGUGAACCCAGACGGGGGAACGGCGAACGGCUCAGUAAUGUUGCGGUGAUCUGCUCUGGUUGAGAAAGAUAACCACGGUAAACUGUGGCUAAGAGACCAGAAUGAGCUGCAACCCUAUCAGUUUGUUGGAAGUGUAAAAGACUCCCAAGACGUCGACGGGUAACGGGAAAUCAGUGUUUGAUUCCGGAGAGGGAGCCUGAGAGAUGGCUCCCACGUCCAAGGAUGGCAGCAGGCGCGAAAAUUGUCCACUCUUUGGAGAGGAGACAGUUAUGAGGCGUGAUUAAAAGAGCGAAGUGUAAACACCUUCGUGUAACGCAAUUGGAGGGCAAGUUUUGGUGCCAGCAGCCGCGGUAAUUCCAACUCCAAGAGUGCCCAUGGUGGAUGCUGCAGUUAAAAAGUCCGUAGUCGUAGAUGCAAUUAAAGGGUGCGGAUCAAGCGCACUGAGUUUGUUGAGUUGUAGCGGAGCGGAUAGGGAGCAUGGUAUAGGUUGGCGAAGAAUGAAAUCUCAAGACCCAACCUGGACCAACUGAGGCGAAAGCGGUGCUCUUAUACGCAUCCGAGGAUCAAGGACGAAGGCUGGAGGAUCGAAAGUGAUUAGAUACCGCUGUAGUUCCAGCAGUAAACUAUGCCGACAUUCUCUGUCCAGCGGACGGGGAAGGGAGAAAUCUUAGUUUUCGGGCUCUGGGGAUAGUACGCUUGCAAGAGUGAAACUUAAAGCGAAAUUGACGGAAGGACACUACCAGGAGUGGAUUGUACUGCUUAAUUUGACUCAACGCGGGAAAACUUACCAGGGUCAAGUUCUCCGUAGAUCGAGUACGUGAGGGGAACGAGAGUGGUGCAUGGCCGUUGGAAAUUGAUGGGAUGACUUUUAGCUUAAAUGCUGAAACCAGUGAGAUCUUCUAGACAGGUGCCAUCCGGCACAGGAGGGCGAAGGCGAUAACAGGUCCGUGAUGCCCUUAGAUAUCCUGGGCUGCAAGUGCAAUACAAUAUCCAUGUCGAUCAAGAAAGGUGAUUAUGGAUGAGCAGGAUUAGCUCUUGUAAAUGAGCUAUGAAUGAGGAAUUCCUAGUAACAGUGUCUCACUAAGGCAUUGUGAAUGCGUCCCUGUUCUUUGUACACACCGCCCGUCACUAUUUCAGAUGGCCAUGAAGAUGAAGAGCUUCGGUUCUGAAUAUUCAUGUC